CUGCAGCCAUUGCCAUGGCUAUGGAUUGUCCUUUUCUUUGUUUCUUUCUGCUGCGUGGGCGGUAUUACCUGGGGUUUGUGGUGCUUUGUUUAUUGUGAGCAGAUGACAAUGAUCUCCAAUUCAGAGAACAGAAGAUUCGCUGUUAAAGAGAUACAUAGAGAUAAAACAGUUGUCAUCAAGAAUGAAAAACUCUAGAUGACCAGGUUGUCUGUGUGGUAGUUGUUUGAGUUCUGUCAGGGCAGACAACCCCGGUGAAUCGAAAAAAGGGGGGCUGGACAAUGUGAGAGCCUAAUAUUCAAUUCCCCAAGCCCCCUUACAACAGUCAAGACUUAACACUUUUAAGUGAAUACAUUAGGAUCAGCGCC
This 365-nucleotide small RNA is filed under the name Histoplasma ohiense. Its description in RNAcentral is "hypothetical lncRNA". The record is from RNAcentral. Lineage: Eukaryota; Fungi; Ascomycota; Eurotiomycetes; Onygenales; Ajellomycetaceae.